UUCUAUUAUUGCUGUUUUGUAGGAUACUAGCCUUGAUUCUUCAGUUUGUUAUCAAAAGGAAGACAGGGAUACUAGUCAAAAUUGCCCGCACAGGAUUUGGAGCCUUUCACAAUAUUCACAUCACCAUAAAGGAAGGUCUACAAGUGGAAAUUGACAAGGUCUGGUUGUCAAGCUGUUAUGUCAAUGAGGAGAUCAGGCAGCCAGUUGUGUUGUGUAUGGGUGAGGUUAGAAUUCAGGCCAACACUAAUGGGUCACGUGACAGACCAAACACAACUUCUCCUCAUCCAUCUAGGGUGCCGUCAAAACAGUUUGCAUUGCCAAAAUUUGCUGCCUACCUUCAGCAUUUCGGAUUGAAGAUUCAGAGCCUGACUGUAAUGUUGUUGAAAACAAUGGUAGCCGAUUGUCUUAUUCACAUUGAGGGACACGAACUGGGGCUUGAUAUCUCAUGCAUUGAGGACAGUUUGCAGUUUAUCAUCAAUGCUGGAAGUGUUAACUGUAGAGCCUUGAGGAGUGUAACACAGGUAGCUAUUAUUUUACUUUUAAAAGAUAUAUUCGGAA
Molecule: long non-coding RNA, 558 nt
Organism: Mercenaria mercenaria
Lineage: Eukaryota; Metazoa; Mollusca; Bivalvia; Venerida; Veneridae
Exons: 5
Source: RefSeq, a predicted model, not a curated record